Molecule: non-coding RNA, 983 nt
Organism: Pelodiscus sinensis (Chinese soft-shelled turtle)
Lineage: Eukaryota; Metazoa; Chordata; Testudines; Trionychidae
Source: RefSeq, a predicted model, not a curated record
UGCAGGACUGGCUCCCAGCGAUGGAAGAGCACCUUCGUAGAGCAGUACUGGGCAGGCUUUGGGGAGUUAGAGAGUGAGUCUCUGGCCUGAUACUUCAUAGGCUGUGGCCUUGAUACUGGACCAAGGAGGUGGAAAGGGUUACAGGAAAAGAGGCCCAGGAAAUGAUAGGCAACAGAGGGCAAAGGAGGAGGGCAAGCAGCUGCCAGAGGGGCUGAGGGCCAGGACCCAGAGUAGCGGUUGGGCCUGGGUCUCCCCCUUCUCUCUUGCACUGCACCCAGCCCAUGGAAGAGUGGCCUUUAUAGACUGUGGCUUGUCCCUGAGAUGACAGGCUAGACUGGGGCUGCAGUUGGCCAAAGUGGCAGAGGCCCAGAGCUAGAAGAUGGAGAGAGCACAGAGUGACAACGGGUGAGACACCGGCCAGAAAAAGGCGUCCUGCUGAGAGUCAGAGCUAAUUCUGGAAUGACCAGCAGGAGGUACCACUGUGAUUUGCAAUCUUUCAUUCUGCCCCGGGCUCAGUAUCCACAUAGGAGGCACACAAUAUAAAAUAUACAAAAGCACCUACUGCCUAAAAGGAACAUUGCUGAGAUCAGGCAUACUGCUCCAGUGCCAUGUUUCCCUCCUAGAAGUGAUUGUGUUUCAUUAGGGCAUGGAUUUACCCUUACAUCUGCAGAGUGAAAUUCACCCCCAGAACAACUGACCCACACAUGUAGAGCAAAGUCAUAUCACUAUCAUCAUGACUAUGACAACAGCAUAAGACUUGAACAGAAGAGAAAUGGGACUAUGAAAGACACAGCGUCAAGAUUAUUGCUGCUAGAUGGACCCAGUCACUGUGUACCGAGGCAUCCAAUUAAGGAAGAUCUAGGAAGAACACUGAGGGUUUUUUUUUACUUGGCUUUGUGUUCAGAUUGAAAUGAUAUUCUAUGACACAGUGAUUGUCAUAGAUUUCUGUAAAGGGUUCCAUAUUCUGUUUUUAUCUAACUGGC